RNAcentral lists this long non-coding RNA (1316 nucleotides) under Bos mutus (wild yak). Its description in RNAcentral is "lncRNA (ENSBMUG00000002570.1)". Lineage: Eukaryota; Metazoa; Chordata; Mammalia; Artiodactyla; Bovidae. The record is from RNAcentral.
GACUUCUCCCGCUUAUGUUUUCUUGCUCCAGGAACUAGCCGCAUGGGCUCCAUGAGUCAGCCUUGCUGCUGGCACCCAGAGGCGCAGGGUCCCCGUCCGCUCUCACGCGCAGCCCGGUGGGGUUUGGGAAACCCGAGAGCAGAGCUAGGGGCUGGAGAUCAUCAGCAAGUCCUUGCGGCGGGCCCCGAAGGACCGGGUGGACAAGGAUGGACUGCGGGGUGUUUGCCCCGAGGCUUUCCCGGAAGCCAUCCUUCCACGACUGCGUGGGACCCCUGGACCCGCUCGGAGGACCGCGUCCUGCGGAGGCUGAAGGCGUUCCGGGGCCGAGGAAGGGCCCGCGCUGGGAUCCAACCAUCCCCCCACCCCCAGCAUCUCCGCAUCUGCGCCCUCCGCGCCCCAACUCCUCUGCAGAAACCCACGCGGGCCGUGGGCGCCCUCGCGCGACAGAAGAAUUAACUAGCGCCGCCAGCACGAGGCGCAGGGUCUGUCCAGGGACCAUCAGGACCGCGAGGUACCGCUGGGAGGCCCCCAGAGGGAACAGAGGAGCUGUGGCUCAGCGCUGGGAAGGGCAGAGCUGCUGAGGGAGGGGGGCGGCCCGGGAAGGGCAAAGCCGGGGGUAGGCUUUCCAGGGUGACCAUGGCCACGACCCCUGGGGAGGCAGGGGCUGCUGUAAAGCUGAAGGGGCUCCAUCCUGGCCAGGGGUGGAGGGAGAGGGCAAGAGGCUCCAGUGAGGUGGCCAGGGCAGAAGCCCAGUGGGGGUGGAACCCGCUGCUGGGUUGGAUGUGACGGGGAACUGCAUGCAAGCAAGGUGACAUGUAAGCUAAGGUGGCACCCUGGUUUGGGGUUUGGGUGGCUAUGUGAGUGCCAGUGCCAUUUCUUCUGAAGGGGGAUGCACUUCAGGGUGGUGGGGCAGGUUGGGAUGGGAACCAAGAAGUCCACUUUAAGAUUCCCUCAGUUUCAGGUGGAGACCCAGAGAGAGGUGGAGGCUGCAAUGAAAGUGUCAGGGUAUUGGGAUGUGACCUCGUUACCCAGGAAGAUGAAGGCAGAGACGGAAGGGGCCCCAGGAUUAAAAACUAACAUAUCCAUUUUGCAGCAGCUGGACAGUCUUUUCCUUUAAUCGAGAAAGCACGGACUGCACAGAAAGGGCAAAAAGCAAACCUGAAGUGCAGGCUGCCUUGUGGGCCUCUGGAGCUGGCCGGGGGCCCAGCCACUGGGAGUCAGGCAAGGGAGCAGGCCUCCAGUCCAGGGGCCAAGCCCGGGCCUCCCUCCCUAGAUGGCUCAGGAAACAAGCCUGAUUGGAUGCAGAGGAUCCAAGU